AGCUAUCCGGUAGAGCAUCAGACUUUUGAUCUGAGGGUCCAGGGUUCAAGUCCCUG
RNAcentral lists this transfer RNA (56 nucleotides) under Gasterosteus aculeatus (three-spined stickleback). It matches the Rfam family "tRNA", at positions 9 to 63 of the family's 71-position model. Rfam says of the family: Transfer RNA (tRNA) molecules are approximately 80 nucleotides in length. The record is from Rfam by way of RNAcentral. Lineage: Eukaryota; Metazoa; Chordata; Actinopteri; Perciformes; Gasterosteidae.